Molecule: ribosomal RNA, 497 nt
Filed under: uncultured bacterium
Lineage: Bacteria
Description: partial 16S ribosomal RNA
Rfam family: Bacterial small subunit ribosomal RNA
Source: RNAcentral
GAUGAACGCUGGCGGCGUGCCUAAUACAUGCAAGUCGAGCGAACAGAUGAGGAGCUUGCUCCUCUGACGUUAGCGGCGGACGGGUGAGUAACACGUGGAUAACCUACCUAUAAGACUGGGAUAACUUCGGGAAACCGGAGCUAAUACCGGAUAAUAUAUUGAACCGCAUGGUUCAAUAGUGAAAGACGGUUUUGCUGUCACUUAUAGAUGGAUCCGCGCCGCAUUAGCUAGUUGGUAAGGUAACGGCUUACCAAGGCAACGAUGCGUAGCCGACCUGAGAGAGUGAUCGGCCACACUGGAACUGAGACACGGUCCAGACUCCUGCGAGAGGCAGCAGUAGGGAAUCUUCCGCAAUGGGCGAAAGCCUGACGGAGCAACGCCGCGUGAGUGAUGAAGGUCUUCGGAUCGUAAAACUCUGUUAUUAGGGAAGAACAAAUGUGUAAGUAACUAUGCACGUCUUGACGGUACCUAAUCAGAAAGCCACGGCUAACUACGUG